UUAAUUAAAAAGUGAAACGUGACAAUUAUUUUUGAGGCAGAAAGUAAUUAUUUUAGGUUGUGUUAUAACACGCACCUUCACUGCGCGUACAGUAAGAAACUUAUUUUAUUUUGCGUAUCACCGUGACUUGACCACUCACUGCAAAUUCCUGUACCUGACGCCUUUCCAUCUCCUCUCUUCAUCUUUUUUCCCCUAUUUAAAGCAAGUAACAGAGCAGGUGCAGGCGAACUUCUCUUGAACAGUUACCAAUGGGAGAUUGUAGCAACAGCAAACUCUUACCAAUGUGCGACUCCGGCGAGGCUCCGUUCGACACACGGCGGUACUAUAAGCAUAUUCAUGAUAAUGUUCAUGGCAACAUCUAUCUCGAUAAGCAAGCUCUGAAUUUCAUCGACACUGAACAGUUUCAGAGGCUUCGUGAAUUGAAGCAGCUAGGUCUUGGAUACAUGGUUUAUCCUGGGGCUGUGCACUCUCGGUUUGAGCAUUCCCUAGGGGUCUAUUGGCUGGCCAGUGACGCUGUACAUAGACUUAAGACCUAUCAAGGACAGGAGCUUGGUAUUGAAUCUUUUGAUGUACAGACCGUGAAACUUGCUGGAUUACUACAUGAUGUGGGUCAUGGGCCAUUCAGUCACUUGUUUGAGCGUGAAAUUCUUCCUCGGGUUCGCAGCGGCAUUAAAUGGUCCCAUGAGGAUAUGUCUUUGAAGAUGAUAGACUACAUUGUUGAUGAGAAUAGCAUUGAUAUUGAUUCUGGCACUUUGAAGAAAGUAAAGGAAAUGAUAGUUGCUUCUGAGGCAGGUAAAUCAGUGAGCUCAAAAGAGAAGCAGUUCUUGUAUGAUAUUGUUGCUAAUGGACGGAACGGAAUAGAUGUUGACAAAUUUGAUUACAUAGAGCGUGACACCAGAGCUUGUGGUCUUAGGUGCAAUUUUCAGUUCCAGAGGCUAAUGGAAACAAUGCGUGUUAUAGACAAUGAAAUAUGUUACAGGGCAAAGGAAUAUCUUACGAUCCACAAGCUAUUUUCCACUCGUGCUGAUUUGCAUCGUACAGUCUAUACGCAUCCAAAAGUGAAGGCAAUAGAAUUCAUGGUCGUGGAUGCUUUGAUAAAAGCAAAUGACCAUCUUGAAAUUGAUUCAUACAUUGAUGAACCAGCAAAGUACUGGAUGUUAGAUGAUACAAUUGUCAAAACAAUUGAAGCUUCUACCCACCAAGAUCUAGAGGAAUCCAGAAAUCUGAUUCGUCGAAUUCGAAGGAGGGACAUAUACCAGUACUGUAAUGAGUUUACUGUGUCCAAGGAGAAUCUGGAGUACUUCAAAAAUGUAACGGCUCAAGACAUAAUUUGUUCCCAGAAUUCUGAUGCUCAUUUGAAUGAGGAAGAUGUUAUUGUUACGAAUAUCAAAAUUGAUUUGGCUAAUGGAAGGAAUAAUCCAUUGGAAAGGGUCAGCUUCUUCCAGCUACAAAGAUGCAAAUUUUGGUUAAUUUGGCCAACAAGUGUUAGUGAGAAUGCUCUUCGACAAUUCCACCUAUAGUUAGAAAUUAACCUUUUAAUAUAAAUGGUACUCUUCAUGCUAGUUGUAUUAUCUCUUUUGCAACUGUCAAUUAUAGUUGUCUUAGAUUCUCCAGUGAUUUUGUUCAUCUAUACUGAACUAUUGAAAACAGUGAUGUAUUUCAGUUAAAAUGGAAAAGACUGUACAGCAUAGAAAUUAAUUUUCCUUGUGGUUCUCAAACAUUGAUUAGCUCUGGAAGUUCUUAUCUCAAACAUCAGUUCAAUCUCUCUUUCGGCUAUAAAUGUUGUCAAAUGUCAACCUUAUAUGGCAAAUACUUUUUGGGUGCACAUGUUUCAAUUUUCCGCCGGCUUCUCUAAUGUCCUAUUGUUUACAGGAUUAUGAUAGUUUUGAGAAAUUUCAUAUAAAGGAAGAUUGCGUUAGUCAGUUAUUGCCUACUUGUUACCAGGAUUUGAUCGUUAGAGUUUAUGCCAGAGAUCCUAAACUGGUAGAUGCUGUUACCAAUGCAUUUGAGAAUUUUCAGACGAAGACUUAUGGAGAGAAAACGCAAGUGCAUGCAAUUA
This is a non-coding RNA of Solanum lycopersicum (tomato), 2059 nucleotides long. The record is from RefSeq and is a predicted model, not a curated record. NCBI's taxonomy places the organism in Eukaryota, Viridiplantae, Streptophyta, Magnoliopsida, Solanales, Solanaceae.